UGAUCUCUGAGAUUCUCCCUCCUGAAGC
RNAcentral lists this non-coding RNA (28 nucleotides) under Bombyx mori (domestic silkworm). Lineage: Eukaryota; Metazoa; Arthropoda; Insecta; Lepidoptera; Bombycidae. The record is from RNAcentral.